RNAcentral lists this ribosomal RNA (454 nucleotides) under uncultured bacterium. RNAcentral describes it as "partial 16S ribosomal RNA". It matches the Rfam family "Bacterial small subunit ribosomal RNA", at positions 28 to 507 of the family's 1533-position model. The record is from RNAcentral.
GAUGAACGCUGACAGAAUGCUUAACACAUGCAAGUCAACUUGAACUUCGGUUUGGGUGGCAGACGGGUGAGUAACGCGUAAAGAACUUGCCUCACAGCUAGGGACAACAUUUGGAAACGAAUGCUAAUACCUGAUAUUAUGAUUAUAUGGCAUCGUAUAAUUAUGAAAGCUAUAUGCGCUGUGAGAGAGCUUUGCGUCCCAUUAGCUAGUUGGAGAGGUAACAGCUCACCAAGGCGAUGAUGGGUAGCCGGCCUGAGAGGGUGAUCGGCCACAAGGGGACUGAGACACGGCCCUUACUCCUACGGGAGGCAACAGUGGGGAAUAUUGGACAAUGGACCGAGAGUCUGAUCCAGCAAUUCUGUGUGCACGAUGAAGUUUUUCGGAAUGUAAAGUGCUUUCAGUUGGGAAGAAAAAAAUGACGGUACCAACAGAAGAAGUGACGGCUAAAUACGUG